Molecule: small nucleolar RNA, 107 nt
Filed under: Capsicum annuum
Lineage: Eukaryota; Viridiplantae; Streptophyta; Magnoliopsida; Solanales; Solanaceae
Description: Plant small nucleolar RNA R71
Rfam family: Plant small nucleolar RNA R71
About the family: R71 is a member of the C/D box family of snoRNAs containing the C (UGAUGA) and D (CUGA) box motifs. Multiple nearly identical copies of this snoRNA have been identified in Arabidopsis, and it is thought to function as a 2'-O-ribose methylation guide for 18S ribosomal RNA.
Source: Rfam by way of RNAcentral
UGAUGGUGAUGAGGAUAAUUUCUGAGCAUGCCUUUAAAUCUCUCCCAAGUUUAGUAGAGAUUUUCUUCAUCUUUUUAUCUAAAACUCAAGAUCUCACUCCUCAAUCG